Molecule: ribosomal RNA, 496 nt
Filed under: uncultured bacterium
Lineage: Bacteria
Description: partial 16S ribosomal RNA
Rfam family: Bacterial small subunit ribosomal RNA
Source: RNAcentral
AUGAACGCUGGCGGCGUGCCUAAUCCAUGCCAGUCGAGCGAACAGACGAGGAGCUUGCUCCUCUGACGUUAGCGGCGGACGGGUGAGUAACACGUGGAUAACCUACCUAUAAGACUGGGAUAACUUCGGGAAACCGGAGCUAAUACCGGAUAAUAUAUUGAACCGCAUGGUUCAAUAGUGAAAGACGGUUUUGCUGUCACUUAUAGAUGGAUCCGCGCCGCAUUAGCUAGUUGGUAAGGUAACGGCUUACCAAGGCGACGAUGCGUAGCCGACCUGAGAGGGUGAUCGGCCACACUGGAACUGAGACACGGUCCAGACUCCUACGGGAGGCAGCAGUAGGGAAUCUUCCGCAAUGGGCGAAAGCCUGACGGAGCAACGCCGCGUGAGUGAUGAAGGUCUUCGGAUCGUAAAACUCUGUUAUAAGGGAAGAACAAAUGUGUAAGUAACUAUGCACGUCUUGACGGUACCUAAUCAGAAAGCCACGGCUAACUACGUG